RNAcentral lists this ribosomal RNA (406 nucleotides) under uncultured bacterium. Its description in RNAcentral is "bacterial SSU rRNA". It matches the Rfam family "Bacterial small subunit ribosomal RNA", at positions 395 to 801 of the family's 1533-position model. The record is from RNAcentral.
CNCCNCGUGAGGGAUGACGGCCUUCGGGUUGUAAACCUCUUUCAGCAGGGAAGAAGCGAGAGUGACGGUACCUGCAGAAGAAGCGCCGGCUAACUACGUGCCAGCAGCCGCGGUAAUACGUAGGGCGCAAGCGUUGUCCGGAAUUAUUGGGCGUAAAGAGCUCGUAGGCGGCUUGUCGCGUCGGUUGUGAAAGCCCGGGGCUUUAACCCCGGGUCUUGCAGUCGAUACGGGCAGGCUAGAGUUUCGGUAGGGGAGAUCGGAAUUCCUGGUGUAGCGGUGAAAUGCGCAGAAUNUCAGGAGGAACACCGGUGGCGAAGGCGGAUCUCUGGGCCCGAUACNUGACGCNUGAGGAGCGAAAAGCCGUGGGGAGCGAACAGGACUUAGAAUACCCNUGGUAGUUCAAGGG